Amphibalanus amphitrite is the source of this 393-nucleotide long non-coding RNA. RefSeq lists it as uncharacterized. The transcript has 2 exons. The record is from RefSeq and is a predicted model, not a curated record. NCBI's taxonomy places the organism in Eukaryota, Metazoa, Arthropoda, Thecostraca, Balanomorpha, Balanidae.
UCAGCUAUGAGACCCAGGAGAUGUCAGCCGACAUGUCGGGCCAGAACAAGCUGAUCGGUGACCAGGCCGGCAUUGAGAUGCGCGGCAGCUACACCUACAUCUCGCCCGAGGGCAGGACCGUCAAAGUCACGUGGAUCGCCAACGAGCAGGGCUUCCAGGCGGACCCCCAGGUGUCUGAGGAGUGACGUCAUUCCCCACUAGCAGUACGUCCAAUCCCACCAACCCGGCGUCACGUCCCGCCGGCGAUCACGGCAGCUAGCGCGGGUCAACAGCGAUAACACCAGGAGACCCGCAGGUCUCACUGCUGGGUGACGUCAUUAUGGCGUCAUCCUGUGCAGCGCGCAUACCUCCCGCUCAUGUUCAUAUUUGUCCCCAAUAAACUAACGAUGUGAG